CAGCCUCUUGUCUGGCACCGGAGCAGAAUUGUCAGGGAGCGUGAGUAAGCAGCCGAAAAGCCUCUUUGCAGUCAACAUCCACAGAAAAGAAAUAGAAGCAAUUGAUCUACAAGGACCUGCCUUUGAAACAUUG
Molecule: long non-coding RNA, 133 nt
Filed under: Macaca mulatta (Rhesus monkey)
Lineage: Eukaryota; Metazoa; Chordata; Mammalia; Primates; Cercopithecidae
Description: lncRNA (ENSMMUG00000064734.1)
Source: RNAcentral